GAUGAACGCUGGCGGCGUGCUUAACACAUGCAAGUCGAACGGUGAAGGCGGAGCUUGCUCUGCUGGAUCAGUGGCGAACGGGUGAGUAACACGUGAGCAAUCUGCCCCUGACUCUGGGAUAAGCGCUGGAAACGGCGUCUAAUACUGGAUACGAGCUGCGAAGGCAUCUUCAGCAGCUGGAAAGAACUUCGGUCAGGGAUGAGCUCGCGGCCUAUCAGCUUGUUGGUGAGGUAACGGCUCACCAAGGCGUCGACGGGUAGCCGGCCUGAGAGGGUGACCGGCCACACUGGGACUGGGACACGGCCCAGACUCCUACGGGAGGCAGCAGUGGGGAAUAUUGCACAAUGGGCGGAAGCCUGAUGCAGCAACGCAGCGUGAGGGACGACGGCCUUAGGGUUGUAAACCUCUUUUAGCAGGGAAGAAGCGAGAGUGACGGUACCUGCAGAAAAAGCGCCGGCUAACUACGUG
Molecule: ribosomal RNA, 468 nt
Filed under: uncultured bacterium
Lineage: Bacteria
Description: partial 16S ribosomal RNA
Rfam family: Bacterial small subunit ribosomal RNA
Source: RNAcentral